UACGAAGGGAGCUAGCGUUGUUCGGAAUCACUGGGCGUAAAGCGCACGUAGGCGGAUCGUUAAGUAGGGGGUGAAAUCCCGAGGCUCAACCUCGGAACUGCCUUCGAUACUGGCGAUCUUGAGUUCGGGAGAGGUGGGUGGAAUUGCUAGUGUAGAGGUGAAAUUCGUAGAUAUUAGGAAGAACACCGAUGGCGAAGGCGGCCCACUGGCCCGAUACUGACGCUGAGGAGCGAAAGCGUAGGGAGCAACCAGG
Molecule: ribosomal RNA, 253 nt
Filed under: uncultured bacterium
Lineage: Bacteria
Description: partial 16S ribosomal RNA
Rfam family: Bacterial small subunit ribosomal RNA
Source: RNAcentral